CAGAGGUCUCGAGCGUUAGGCGGAAUCACUGGGCUUAAAGCGUGUGUAGGCGGACUUGUAAGUACCUUGUGAAAUCCCACGGCUUAACCGUGGAACUGCUUGGUAUACUGCUUGUCUUGGGCCACUUAGGGGCUACCGGAACAAACGGUGGAGCGGUGAAAUGCGUAGAUAUCGUUUGGAACGCCAAUGGUGAAAACAGGUAGCUGGGAGUGUGCCGACGCUGAGACACGAAAGCCAGGGGAGCGAACGGGAUUAGAUACCCCGGUAGUCCUGGCUGUAAACGAUGUCGACUAGAUCGUGGCGGCUCUGACGCUGUCACGGUCGAAGCAAAAGUGCUAAGUCGACCGCCUGGGAAGUACGGUCGCAAGGCUA
This 372-nucleotide ribosomal RNA is filed under the name uncultured organism. Its description in RNAcentral is "bacterial SSU rRNA". It matches the Rfam family "Bacterial small subunit ribosomal RNA", at positions 526 to 896 of the family's 1533-position model. The record is from RNAcentral.